CGGGGACGGGGGUGGGGGGGGGGAGUCUCGGUUGCCAGGCGCUCCCUGCAGGCUCUGAGCACCUCCACGAAGGGAAGAGGGAAGAGAGACCUCCCGGCGGGUGUGCGCAGGCGCGCGCGUCGGGUCAGGCUGCGGCUGUCAGCGGUGAUGGGUGCCAGAGACAGGCGCUACUGUGGGGCAGAUUGAGUUUCUCAAACGAAACCUCGCGCCCUGCCCCUGCCGCCGCCGCCGCCGCCGCCCUCCUCUCUCCAGUAGCGACGCCCUUCCAAACCAACAGCGAAGAAACCAAGGAAAAAACCCUCCAAUCGGCCACAGAUUCUGAGGCGGAGACCCCGGGAGGGGAAAGGUGAAGCCCAGGAGCGUUCUGUGACCCGCCCCACCUCCCGCCAGUCUCUCUCGGAGCCUCUCGGCGGUUCCACACCCUUUGCUCAGCGGUCGGCGGGAAGAAAAGGGAGGAGACGGAACUGGGCAUGUCUAGUCUAGUGAAGAGAAGGACCAGGGGAGACAUGAUAGCUAUCUUCCAAUACUUGAGGGUCUGCCUCAGAGAGGAGGGGGUCAAGCUGUUUUCCAAAGCACCUGAAGGCCAGAAGGAAUAAUGGAUGGAAACUGACCAAGGAGAGAUUCAACCUAGAAAUGAGGAGGAACUUUCUGACAGUGAGAACAAUCAACCAAUGGAACAGAAGUUGCCUUCGGAAGUUGUGGGAGCUUCGUCACCUGAGACUUUCAAGAAAAGAUUGGACUGCCAUUUGUCAGAAAUGGUGUAGGGUCUCCUGCUUGAGCGGGGUGGGGUGGGGGUUUGGACUAGAUGACCUAUAAGGUCCCUUCCAACUCUGUUAAUCUGUUUAAAAUAUCAUGAAUGAGAUUUACCCAUCAAAAUUGAUCAAUUGAGAAUAAAGAUGGUCCUGUUGGACGGUUUCUUUUAA
Pantherophis guttatus is the source of this 923-nucleotide RNA transcript. It is a transcript of the gene named ribose-phosphate pyrophosphokinase 1-like, with no coding region annotated. The record is from RefSeq and is a predicted model, not a curated record. NCBI's taxonomy places the organism in Eukaryota, Metazoa, Chordata, Lepidosauria, Squamata, Colubridae.